GCCGGUGUAGCUCAGUGGUAGAGCAGCGGUUUUGUAAACCGCCGGUCAUGGGUUCAAGUCCCUUCACCGGCUCC
Molecule: transfer RNA, 74 nt
Filed under: Chloroflexota bacterium
Lineage: Bacteria; Bacillati; Chloroflexota
Description: tRNA-Thr
Rfam family: tRNA
About the family: Transfer RNA (tRNA) molecules are approximately 80 nucleotides in length. Their secondary structure includes four short double-helical elements and three loops (D, anti-codon, and T loops). Further hydrogen bonds mediate the characteristic L-shaped molecular structure. tRNAs have two regions of fundamental functional importance: the anti-codon, which is responsible for specific mRNA codon recognition, and the 3' end, to which the tRNAs corresponding amino acid is attached (by aminoacyl-tRNA synthetases). tRNAs cope with the degeneracy of the genetic code in two manners: having more than one tRNA (with a specific anti-codon) for a particular amino acid; and 'wobble' base-pairing, i.e. permitting non-standard base-pairing at the 3rd anti-codon position.
Source: RNAcentral